Molecule: ribosomal RNA, 184 nt
Filed under: uncultured bacterium
Lineage: Bacteria
Description: partial 16S ribosomal RNA
Rfam family: Bacterial small subunit ribosomal RNA
Source: RNAcentral
CCUGCAUGAAGUCGGAAUUGCUAGUAAUCGCGGAUCAGCAUGCCGCGGUGAAUACGUUCUCGGGCCUUGUACACACCGCCCGUCACACCAUGGGAGUCGGUAACACCCGAAGUCUGUAGCCUGACGCAAGAGGGCGCAGCCGAAGGUGGGAUUGAUNACUGGGGUGAAGUCGUAACAAGGUACC